AUUGAACGCUGGCGGCAGGCCUAACACAUGCAAGUCGAGCGGAUGAAGGGAGCUUGCUCCUGGAUUCAGCGGCGGACGGGUGAGUAAUGCCUAGGAAUCUGCCUGGUAGUGGGGGAUAACGUCCGGAAACGGGCGCUAAUACCGCAUACGUCCUGAGGGAGAAAGUGGGGGAGCUUCGGACCUCACGCUACCAGAUGAGCCUAGGUCGGAUUAGCUAGUUGGUGGGGUAAAGGCCUACCAAGGCGACGAUCCGUAACUGGUCUGAGAGGAUGAUCAGUCACACUGGAACUGAGACACGGUCCAGACUCCUACGGGAGGCAGCAGUGGGGAAUAUUGGACAAUGGGCGAAAGCCUGAUCCAGCCAUGCCGCGUGUGUGAAGAAGGUCUUCGGAUUGUAAAGCACUUUAAGUUGGGAGGAAGGGCAGUAAGUUAAUACCUUGCUGUUUUGACGUUACCAACAGAAUAAGCACCGGCUAACUUCGUG
Molecule: ribosomal RNA, 484 nt
Filed under: uncultured bacterium
Lineage: Bacteria
Description: partial 16S ribosomal RNA
Rfam family: Bacterial small subunit ribosomal RNA
Source: RNAcentral